UACAUUUGUUGAUUGGCGGAGAAGAAAAAGACGAAGAUGAGGGCAACGGAGGAAAUUUACAAAUGGUUGUUGUGGAAGUUCAUCCAUACAAAGGACCACGAGAUAAUGCAGUCCAAACUACGACUUAUGGAAAAGAACAAAAGCAGGAUUCUGAACAGGACAAGGAAGGACAACAGGAAGCUUCCACAGAACAACCAUCAACUUCCUUUGAAGGUACAAAAGAAAAAGAGGCCGUUGAAUUUGAAACCAAAAGUAGUGAC
Long non-coding RNA from Pocillopora damicornis (cauliflower coral), 260 nucleotides. Lineage: Eukaryota; Metazoa; Cnidaria; Anthozoa; Scleractinia; Pocilloporidae. The record is from RefSeq and is a predicted model, not a curated record.